RNAcentral lists this ribosomal RNA (560 nucleotides) under uncultured bacterium. Its description in RNAcentral is "bacterial SSU rRNA". It matches the Rfam family "Bacterial small subunit ribosomal RNA", at positions 340 to 917 of the family's 1533-position model. The record is from RNAcentral.
UACGGGAGGCAGCAGUGGGGAAUAUUGCACAAUGGGGGAAACCCUGAUGCAGCGACGCCGCGUGAAGGAAGAAGUAUUUCGGUAUGUAAACUUCUAUCAGCAGGGAAGAAAAUGACGGUACCUGACUAAGAAGCCCCGGCUAACUACGUGCCAGCAGCCGCGGUAAUACGUAGGGGGCAAGCGUUAUCCGGAUUUACUGGGUGUAAAGGGAGCGUAGACGGAAGUGCAAGUCUGAAGUGAAAGCCCGGGGCUCAACCCCGUGACUGCUUUGGAAACUGUNCUUCUAGAGUGUCGGAGAGGUAAGCGGAAUUCCUAGUGUAGCGGUGAAAUGCGUAGAUAUUAGGAGGAACANCAGUGGCGAAGGCGGCUUACUGGACGAUAACUGACGUUGAGGCUCGAAAGCGUGGGGAGCAAACAGGAUUAGAUACCCUGGUAGUCCACGCCGUAAACGAUGANUACUAGGUGUCGGGGUACAAAGUACUUCGGUGCCGCAGCCAACGCAAUAAGUAUUCCACCUGGGGAGUACGUUCGCAAGAAUGAAACUCAAAGGAAUUGACGGA